Molecule: ribosomal RNA, 345 nt
Filed under: uncultured bacterium
Lineage: Bacteria
Description: bacterial SSU rRNA
Rfam family: Bacterial small subunit ribosomal RNA
Source: RNAcentral
CAUACGCGUUCAGAGUUUGAUCCUGGCUCGGGAUGAACGCUAGCGGCAGGCUUAACACAUGCAAGUCGAGGGGCAGCGGGAAAUGUGCUUGCACAUUUUGCCGGCGACCGGCGCACGGGUGCGUAACGCGUAUGCAACCUACCCAUAACAGGGGGAUAACACUGAGAAAUUGGUACUAAUACCCCGUAACAUCAUUUGAGGCAUCUCAGAUGGUUGAAAGUUCCGGCGGUUAUGGAUGGGCAUGCGUUGUAUUAGCUAGUUGGUGAGGUAAUGGCUCACCAAGGCGACGAUACAUAGGGGGACUGAGAGGUUAACCCCCCACAUUGGUACUGAGACACGGACCAA